Erinaceus europaeus (western European hedgehog) is the source of this 79-nucleotide small nucleolar RNA. Its record names the gene SNORD26. It matches the Rfam family "Small nucleolar RNA SNORD26". From Rfam's summary of the family: U26 is a member of the C/D class of snoRNA which contain the C (UGAUGA) and D (CUGA) box motifs. U26 is encoded within the U22 snoRNA host gene (UHG) in mammals and is thought to act as a 2'-O-ribose methylation guide for ribosomal RNA. The record is from Ensembl. Lineage: Eukaryota; Metazoa; Chordata; Mammalia; Eulipotyphla; Erinaceidae.
CUGCGGGGAUGAUUUCCACAAUCGAACUCUCUCUUUCUGAUGGCGUAGUGGAGAGAUCCGUAGGACAUUUCUGAGUAGC